This 5016-nucleotide long non-coding RNA is filed under the name Triticum aestivum (bread wheat). Its description in RNAcentral is "long non-coding RNA (TAES_LNC019831)". Lineage: Eukaryota; Viridiplantae; Streptophyta; Magnoliopsida; Poales; Poaceae. The record is from RNAcentral.
UGCGUGCUGCUCAUCUUGCUUCUCAGCUCCUCAAAGACUUUCAUGCUGUCCGCGUCGAAGCCUCCGGCAAACUGCGCAAUGGCGAACCGUAAGCUCUCGAUUUGAAAUUUCCAUUUGCCUGUAAAUACUCAUAUUGUUGAUAAGAAGUACAUACCUGAUGAACUCGGAAAGCGAAUCUGACGCCCUGGAGAAGCAGGAACUCCCUGUUGGGCUCUUUCUCGGUGCCCUGCAGCGCGUCGAGCUCCGAGGUGACCCUCUCCAUGUACUUCUUUGCAAGCUGAACGGAUGCCAGUUUGAUCUGCAACCAACAUAUGAAGUUAAACUUUGAUUCAAAUCUUAUUGCAUAUUCCGAUUCAAAACUUAUACAUCUUUAUAAUGAAUUAGUAAUUGUAUGCUCUUUCAAGUAAGUAAGGCUGCCAGCAUAAGUAGUCUAGAGAUGCACACCUUGCCAACUUUUCCUGAAUCAGAUAGCCAAUCGACUGGUAUUCCAUACUCCUUGUACCGUGCGGUGGUCAUGUCUCUUGUACGAAGAAGUGCGUAAACACUCUGCUCCACUCUGUCAGAAGUAUGACACUAAUUAGUUCACUGAAAUUAUGAUUCUUAGGGUAAACCAAUACUUAUCACAAACAUCUUGGAAUUCGCAAAAUAUUGCCAAUUAUUUUCUGAAAAAUUAUUACCGAUUUACUCUGAAGAACUAUGCUAUUUGGGAACAUACUAGUUCAGAGAAGGCACUUACUUCUCAAGCAACGAAUACAUCCUCUUUAGAGCUUCUUCACAUGGAAGUUUUGGAUCGUCGACAAAGGAUGUGGCCUUGUUCUCUAGUUUCACCAGGUCCUGAUACUCAAAGGCGGCCUCUCUUAAUGCAUCAGUUUUGCUCUCUGGCCAAUCGAAAUGCUUUAGCACUGCUCUCUCAUCAACCUAAAAGAAAGGUUAAUUGAUCUUUUUAGUAGUUGAUCAUGUGCAGCCUAAGUACAAUAUCUAACAUGGAUAAAUUAAUGGGGUCUUACCAAGAAUGACAACUCCUCAUCCAGCCAGUGUACAAAUGCAACGACAUCAUCGAUAUUCGCGAAUCUUGCUGCUCGGACCUCACUCGCCAGGGACUCAACAAAUUCUCCUUGUGUCUCCACAUCAGCUUUGACCUGAAACAUUCCAUGUUUUUGACAAUAUUCGUCAUAAUGAGCUGAUUAUAUUGAAGUUAUACCUACUGCCUACAAUGAUCUGCACUAAUGAUGGACGGCAUGGAUUUGGCAGGAUUUUUAUGCAAGGCGGGCCAUCUGAAGAUACUUACAGCUAAUAGGAAUGUUGAUCUGUUCUCAAUCUCUCCGAUCAUGUUGCUUCUGUUGUCAGAAACAUUCGAUGUUUUUGAUCCCAAAGAGGUGGUGUCCUUCUUGGCUUCACGUUUCAUGAGACUCUGAUAGAACUCCACGACCUCCGGAGCACGGUGCACCUUGUCACCACCAGCAAGGCUCUUGGAUAGAGAGCCGGGAGGCGGCGGUGGCGGCGGAGGGCCACCGGGUCUCCCUGGAGGUGGUGGUGGAGGAGGUGCACCUGGUGGGCGUGGCGGCAUCGGUGGUGCACCGCUCGCGGUACUGGUAGCUCCUGAAGCAGCAGCGGCCGAUGCCGUGGGUGGUGGACGGGGGACUCUUGGGGCCCUCUUCUCAAUUUGGGCAAGCUUCAACUGGGUGACAGCCAGGGGGUUGUUCGGGAUAUCACUAGAUUGCUCACCAGGUUCAGAAUUAACUGCAGGGGCCUUCUUCUCCUUUAUUUGAGCGAGUUUUGGGGGGAGUGCAGCUCUCGGGGAGGGAACCAGAACUGAACUAUAGCCACCACCAAACCUUUGUGCCCUGGCUUGCUCGGCCUUCUCUUUGAUCGCCUUCUCCCGUUCCGUCGCAAGCUUAUGCCGGUCUUUGUAAGCGGGAUACUUCUCAUCAGCAAAGCCUUCCACAUUCUUCGACAUCAACUGGAAUGAAGAUGCAACAUUUGCAUCAUCUGCGUCACCGGAUUCUUGGUCCCUUUUUCCAAAUGUUGUAAUGGACAUACCAUCUCCUGCAUUUCUGAUCAUGAGAGACUCCAGGGGCCCCUUUGGUUUCUGGCUCCUCUUCGGAGAGCUACUGGUCAGGGACCGCGAGGACGGGGAUGACAGAUAGCUGCCGUCAUCCUUGCUCCUUCCCCACUUCUUGAGUUUCUGCAUCAGGUUCGGCCUCUUGCUUAGGAAGCUGUAUCUGCUGGAAGAGCUGUCGAUCGAGGCGGUGUCGAAGUCUUCGCUUCUGGGGGAAGAAGGUGCGGAGGAGACACUGUCAAGGUCAGUGUCGCCCUGGCCUCGUUCAGACCCGAAUUCGAGCAUCAUCUGUUUGGCCCUCUCCUGCGACCUUGGGCUGAGCUUCGUGCUGAGGUCGCGGGCAGAGAUCUUCCCAGAUGGUGUCUGGUAGUUGCGGAGCUCGAAUCGCAGACAGGCGUUGACCCAGCGCAGGUACACCAGCUCUUCUACUUCACUGAAUCUGUUCAUUUGUAGGCCUUCCACUUGCUUUGUCAGGUCCUCGUUUGUAUGUCUCAGGUUGUUGAUCUCCUCUCUUGCAUGGGCAACUACAUCACUCUGCAUGAUGAAUUGAUGAUGGUAUGUCAUAUGUACAUUAUUGAGGAAGUAUGCCAUGAAAAAGUAUUAAAUACAAUCUGACACUUGGCUAAAAAUUAAUUACUAAGUAGCAUUCUUCAUUUGUGGAACUUCUGGAAUUGUGAUUUGGAUCUGAAAUACUAACUCUCAUUCUCUCAACAUAGAAAAGCACCUCAGCUGACUGUUUGUUCUACUGAACAGGGAAGAAAAUUGCAUUUAUCCUGAUAGGAGCAAACCGUUCAAUUUCUUGCCCAGAUAACAAUGUUAUGGCGAAAAUCAUGCUGUCAUGUUUAAGAGUAAAGUCAAAACUUGCGGUCCGUCUCAUGAGUCUUAUUGAUUGGUUUGUUUUUUUAGGAAAAAAGCAAUAUAAAAGAGAGUGCAUAUCAUUAGGUCCUACCUUUUACAAGUGGAAACAAAAGCAAAAUCCUAAUUUUGAACUAGAGACAAACUAAGAGGAUAGGCCUGUACACUACACGGAUAGAGACAAACCCAACAAACGUAGCAGAACCACUGCUAGCCUGCCACAGAAACUUGGACCGUCUAGGACCAUGCAAAUGAUUAGGCUAAAAAAAACUGCUGCUGAAUAUUCUUGUGUCAUGUACUAAAAUGCAAAAGGCUUUACAAACUUUGCAGAGUAAUAGUAACAGAGUAGUGCUAUACCUCUGUUAUUUUUCCUUGUGCUGCAUCCAGCUUCACCAUGAGAUCCCUCUUCUCAUACAGCAGCUCCUUGUUCUUCCUCCUCAGCUCAAGCACCUCCACCUCCAGGUUCUUGAGCUUCUUGAGCUUCUGUUCGAUCUCGGCGUCCUUCUUGGCCACCUCCUCCUCCUUGGCCCUGAGCCCCAUCACCUGUUGCUUCAGCAGCAUCAGCUGGCCUUUUGUCUGGUUGGCCUCCAUCUGUAUCUGCCGCUGCAGCUCCUUGAUCCUGCUCCUGGACGCGUCGAGCUCCUUCUUGGCGGCCGCGCCGCGGGCCACGUCCUCCUGCAGCUUCUUCCUCUCGGCCUGCAGCGAGCUGAUGGUGAGGUUGAGCAUGUCGACCUCCACCGUCUUGAUCUUGAGCUGCUUCUGCAGCUCGGAGACGUCGGUCUCCUGCUCCUUGAGGCCGUAGUACUCGAGCAGCUCGCCCUCGAGCUUCACCUCCCGCUCCUCCAGCUCCCUCACCAGGCCACGCAGCCGCUCCAUCUCGGCGGCGUUGUUGGCCAUGUGCGCGUUGUACCGGGACCGCUCCUUGACGUCGUACCUGUCACCCGGUAUCGGGAUGUCGACCUCCCCGCCCAGGAGGCUCUCGAUCUCCGAGAACAUGUCGUCCUCAUCGUCGUCGUCCACCGACGGGGCCGAGUUGAUUAUGCCGCUGAUCGUCUUAACCUCUUCCUCCUCGUCUUCUUUCUCCCCCUGAAAUAAUCAGCAGAAGCGAUGAACAAGACGCAGAACCAAUAGUUCUUUGCUGUAAAUUGCGGGCAGUGGAUGCGUGUACAUACAUGUCCAGUAUGCCGAGCCUUCUCCUUCCUCUUGCCCGCUUGGCCAUUGUCUGAAAGAGGCCAGGCAUAAGCUUGAGCGAGAAAUUCAGAUGGACAGAAGGAACCAUUGACGGAGUGGAGAACUAGAGGAGUACCUUUCUUAGGCCCCUUGCCUCGCUUAAGAGUGAACGCGGCGAAGGUUGCUAAUACCACGAAUCCGAGUCUCACAAGCAUGACUCCGUGCACUCAUCACUGUCCGUUCCGGCCUCGACCGGCAGGAGGAGGGCAAGGCCAGGCAGCUCUGGCUCUGCUCAUCACAGAACAGCUGCAAAAGCAGAGCUGGGAGGAGGAAGAAGCACGUGUGAAUGGCCGUGGCCCUGGCCGGGGCUGCUAAAUGUUCCUCAUAUCUUUAGUGAGCCAACGAACACCACCGGAGGAACAUGUGGAUUGGAUUGUCUAUCUAUGUUUAUCCCUCAGGAAAGACAGGCUCGUGUAGCACAGGAAGUCUCUUUUCUCUUCUGCUGUGUGUGUCCAAUAGUGUGGGACUUGUUGGUAGCUGACAGAUUUUCCAUAUGGUGAUGGUACCAGGAGGUGGUGGCUGACAAAAAUUUCAUAUGCUGAUGAUACACGAAACUGCGGAAGGCUUGUGGCUUUGGAAGAGAGUGGUAGGCUAUUGUUUGCUGUGCACAGAAAUGGGUGGUGGCUGGUGUGCCUGGGUGAGGGUGAAGCGGGGGUUGUAGUCUGGGUGAUGGUGAUAUAUCUGGAUUAUGAUGAUGAUGAGGCUCACAGGAUGGAGCAUGGCAGUGCUAGUACCCUCUCCUGGACUCUAAUCUGGAGUGGUUUUUGUAUAUGAAGCAAUACUAGCAGGGAAUUCGCCUGUUUUUGUAUAUUGUUAAAUACUUUAUUAACUUUUUCAAAUACAAUUUUUUCAAAAUUUAAUAUGUGUUAAAU